Pelodiscus sinensis (Chinese soft-shelled turtle) is the source of this 602-nucleotide non-coding RNA. NCBI's taxonomy places the organism in Eukaryota, Metazoa, Chordata, Testudines, Trionychidae. The record is from RefSeq and is a predicted model, not a curated record.
AUCAUCUGAUGAAUUGGGUUUUAUCCAUGAAAACUCCUGACCAAAUACUUUAGUUAGUCUCUUAAGGUGCCACAGGACUGAGUGUUGUUUUUACAGGAACAAAAUAGACUUCUUAAAACCCAAAUACUGUUUUAAUAUGAGGAACAAAGCAUGUAAAGAAAGAUUUUUGAACACAACCUGCAUGAGUCAAUUGUACCCUCUUCUCUCCCCCCCCCAUGGCAGCCAAAAUAAUCCCUGCCCCUGCUAGGACCUUUGUCUCACAUGACUGACGGCUCUAUUCUCUUAAUCCCAGCAGAGUGAUUUCCUAGGCGUUCACCCGAGUCACCCAAACUGGUUCUGUAAAUUGGUUGGUACGGGCCAGUAGAAUCUUCCAAGCUAGUAGUUCAGGCUUUGUCUCUUAACCUGUUUUCUGAGGAGUGGCUUAUAUUGAGCCAUUGUUCCCUUCUGCCUUCCCUGACAACUCCUUUAUUAAUCAAUCAAUGUCUAUAUACAGAAAAUAUCUCCAAAACCAGGUCACCAGGCGGUGUUCAUAAAUUAUUAAAAGAAGGUUGCCAGCAGAAUGUGGAACGUAACCUCAUUCCCUUUUCUCUGGCUUUUUUUUU